Molecule: small nuclear RNA, 164 nt
Organism: Phodopus roborovskii (desert hamster)
Lineage: Eukaryota; Metazoa; Chordata; Mammalia; Rodentia; Cricetidae
Product: U1 spliceosomal RNA
Exons: 1
Source: RefSeq, a predicted model, not a curated record
CUACGUACCUGACAAAGAAGAUACAAUGAUCAAAAAGGUGGUUUUUCCAGGGCUAGACUCAUCCAUUGCACUCCGGAUGUUCUACCCCCCUGUGAUUUCCCCAGUGUUGGAAACUCAACUGCAUAAUUUGUGGUAUUAGGUGACUGUAUUGGCAUUCUUCCCAG